GACGAACGCUGGCGGCGUGCUUAACACAUGCAAGUCGAACGAUGAAGCUGGAGCUUGCUCCGGUGGAUUAGUGGCGAACGGGUGAGUAACACGUGAGCAAUCUGCCCUUGACUCUGGGAUAACUGCGGGAAACUGUAGCUAAUACCGGAUAUGAGGCUUGGAGGCACCUCCAGGUCUGGAAAGAAUUUCGGUCAAGGAUGAGCUCGCGGCCUAUCAGCUAGUUGGUGAGGUAAUGGCUCACCAAGGCGACGACGGGUAGCCGGCCUGAGAGGGGGACCGGCCACACUGGGACUGAGACACGGCCCAGACUCCUACGGGAGGCAGCAGUGGGGAAUAUUGCACAAUGGGCGAAAGCCUGAUGCAGCAGCGCCGCGUGAGGGAUGAAGGCCUUCGGGUUGUAAACCUCUUUUAGCAGGGAAGAAGCGAAAGUGACGGUACCUGCAGAAAAAGCACCGGUUAACUACGUGCCAGCCGCCGCCGUAA
RNAcentral lists this ribosomal RNA (483 nucleotides) under uncultured bacterium. RNAcentral's name for it is "partial 16S ribosomal RNA". It matches the Rfam family "Bacterial small subunit ribosomal RNA", at positions 28 to 523 of the family's 1533-position model. The record is from RNAcentral.